Molecule: ribosomal RNA, 846 nt
Filed under: Elizabethkingia anophelis
Lineage: Bacteria; Pseudomonadati; Bacteroidota; Flavobacteriia; Flavobacteriales; Weeksellaceae
Description: bacterial SSU rRNA
Rfam family: Bacterial small subunit ribosomal RNA
Source: RNAcentral
ACCCAUGCAAGCCGAGCGGUAGAUUACUUUCGGGUAAUUGAGAGCGGCGUACGGGUGCGGAACACGUGUGCAACCUGCCUUUAUCAGGGGGAUAGCCUUUCGAAAGGAAGAUUAAUACCCCAUAAUAUAUUAUUCGGCAUCGGGUGAUAUUGAAAACUACGGUGGAUAGAGAUGGGCACGCGCAAGAUUAGCUAGUUGGUGAGGUAACGGCUCACCAAGGCGACGAUCUUUAGGGGGCCUGAGAGGAUGAUCCCCCACACUGGUACUGAGACACGGACCAGACUCCUACGGGAGGCAGCAGUGAGGAAUAUUGGACAAUGGGUGGAAGCCUGAUCCAGCCAUCCCGCGUGCAGGAAGACGGCCCUAUGGGUUGUAAACUGCUUUUAUCUGGGGAUAAACCUACUUACGUGUAAGUAGCUGAAGGUACCAGAAGAAUAAGCACCGGCUAACUCCGUGCCAGCAGCCGCGGUCAUACGGAGGGUGCAAGCGUUAUCCCGAUUUAUUGGGCUUGAAGGGUCCGUAGGCCGACUGAUAAGUCAGUGGUGAAAUCCGACAGCUUAACUGUCGAACUGCCAUUGAUACUGUUUAUCUUGAGUCGCGGUUGAACUGGCUGGAAUAAGUCGUGUAGCGGUGAACUGCGUAUAUAUUACUUACAACACCGAUUGCUAAGGCCUGUUCACUACCUCUUAAUUUGACGCCUUAUGCACCAAAGCGUACUUAGCGAACAGGAUUAGAUACCCUGGUACUCCACGCCGUCUACGAUGAUUACUCGUUUUUUGACUUUAAAUUGGGUUUAAUGAUUCAGAGACUAAGCGAAAGUGAUAAGUAAUCCACCUGGGGAGUACG